AGAAAAUGAAAUUUGAAAAAAAAAAUAUCAGGGACCAAAACAGUCACUGACAAAGUUCAGUGACCGUUAUGGUCACUGAAAUUUUUUUUUUUUGGA
RNAcentral lists this microRNA precursor (96 nucleotides) under Olea europaea subsp. europaea. The record is from RNAcentral. Lineage: Eukaryota; Viridiplantae; Streptophyta; Magnoliopsida; Lamiales; Oleaceae.